GACGAACGCUGGCGGCGUGCUUAACACAUGCAAGUCGAACGGAAAGGCUCCUUUGGGGGUAUUCGAGUGGCGAACGGGUGAGUAACACUUGAUUAUCCUGCCCUUGACUUCGGGAUAACUUCAGGAAACUGGGGCUAAUACCGGAUAGGAAUCCUUGCUGCAUGGUGUGGGUCGGAAAGCGUCGGCGGUUUUGGAUGGAUUCGCGGCUUAUCAGCUUGUUGGUGGGGUUGUGGCUUACCAAGGCGUUGACGGGUAGCCGGCCGGAGAGGGCGACCGGCCACAUUGGGACUGGGAUACGGCACAGACUCCUACGGGAGGCAGCAGGGGGGAAUAUUGAACAAUGGGCGGAAGCCUGAUGCAGCAACGCCGCGUGCGGGAUGACGGCCUUCGGGUUGUAAACCGCUUUCAGCAGGGGCGAAGCUUGUGGUGACGGUACCUACAGAAGAAGCACCGGCUAACUACGUG
Molecule: ribosomal RNA, 465 nt
Filed under: uncultured bacterium
Lineage: Bacteria
Description: partial 16S ribosomal RNA
Rfam family: Bacterial small subunit ribosomal RNA
Source: RNAcentral